Long non-coding RNA from Patella vulgata (common limpet), 767 nucleotides. RefSeq lists it as uncharacterized. The record is from RefSeq and is a predicted model, not a curated record. NCBI's taxonomy places the organism in Eukaryota, Metazoa, Mollusca, Gastropoda, Patellidae. The transcript has 4 exons.
CCAGGAUCGUUGGUCGUCAGUCGAUCGACAGACUGCUUCUGAUUCUACAAGAACCAUGAAAGUCUUCAUUAUCGCAGUACUAGCUCUGGUGGCUUACACGGCUUCGGGAACUACCAGGCCAAGGAUAAUUAUUGACACUGACUGGAGCAAUUUUCUAGUGUGUAACAGAUGGACCCAAUUCUAUGAUCGUGACAACCCGUCCGGCUAUGGUGAUGAGGAACCAUUGGGAAGUCUUCGAAGGGCAAGGCCCUAUGAUAAUAUCUGUGCAAGACCAGCUACCUUGGAAUAUGAAACCGUAUCUACAAAAGCGUGUAUCAACACAGGGGAAGUGAUUACAGCAUCACCGACCACCGGUUUUACAUGCGUUAAUUCUCGUCAACCUGAUCAAAGGUGUAACGAUUACAAAGUUCGAUACUGCUGUCUAGAUGCCCAAGUCACAUGUCCGAACGGAUAUGAAUGGACCUACUUCUACGACCGUGACAACCCCUCAGGCACAGGUGAUUCGGAACUAUUAAAGCAGCUACGAGAUGAAAAUCCAAAUGAGAUUUGUGAAAAACCAAUCGCCAUAGAUGUCCGUCGUCGAAGCAAUGGCCGCGACUUUAGAACAUGCGGCGAGAACGUCACUGUCUCUCCAUCGUUCGGAUUUCUCUGCUUAGAUCGAAACCAGUAUGAUCACUAUUGUGAAGAUUACAAAGUCCGAUUCUGUUGUCCUUGUGAUAAAUAAAUAUCUAAAUGGAUAACAUGAAAGAAUAAAAAAUAUUGCACAA